Molecule: non-coding RNA, 87 nt
Organism: Ceratotherium simum simum (southern white rhinoceros)
Lineage: Eukaryota; Metazoa; Chordata; Mammalia; Perissodactyla; Rhinocerotidae
Source: RefSeq, a predicted model, not a curated record
CUGUGUCCCAGUUUGCAGUGCUUGUGCUCAGGUAACCUUUAUUUUACUUAAUAACGGCCCCAAAGUGCAAGAGUAGUGAUGCUGGCA